GACACAACUACCAACCUCCAACUACCCUAUUACAAUUAAAUGCACACGCUCAUCUUCCUCCUACCUCCUUGGCUUAAAAGAGGCCAUCUUCUUCACCACACCAUAUCUUCCCCAAGGAGUUUCAUUCUCAGCUCAGCUCUUCCUCAGCUACGCUCUGUCCCAUUCUUAUAUGGUUCUCAUUGCCAUGUCAAGCUCCAGCGCUCCCCUUGUUGCACUAGAGGAGCAGGCACCCCUGCCACUCAUAGUUUGCCCAUUCUGCAACAAUGGCAUGGUUCAGUGUUGGGUAUCCCGCACAAACACCAAUCCAGGCAAGCACUUCUACAAGUGCUAGCACGAGUGGUCUCGCAAGUGCAACUUCUGGAAAUGGGAGGAGAACUACAUAAACGUCAUUCGCGCCAAAUGGCCCAGGCUGUUCACCAUCCCUUCUCGUGAAGACAGGAAGUUCCACCGCAUCAUCAUCGCCCUUCUGGCAUUGAAUCUGCUCGCCGUGCUGUUCGUAUGCUGCAGGGUCGCCUGAACCGCUUGUAUUUUGCCAAGAUUACACUGCUGCGACCUCUUCCCCUAAUGUGCAACUGUUAGCACAACCAGUACUUGUUUAUUGUUCUGCCGAUCUGGCAUGGAGACCCGAUGUUGUUACAAUAUGCUGAUAUGUCUUUAGAAAUCAGUAAUCCAUCUGUCCGCCUAGGCCGGACUAGUAUUUCCAACCACUAUGUAAUUUUUUCUUCUCACAAAGCACCUGAUGUGGUUGCUUAGUGCUUGUGAACUUGUAACGCCUACCAACGGUUUUAAUCCUAAUCGUUGUCAUAUGAAA
Aegilops tauschii subsp. strangulata is the source of this 811-nucleotide long non-coding RNA. RefSeq lists it as uncharacterized. The record is from RefSeq and is a predicted model, not a curated record. Lineage: Eukaryota; Viridiplantae; Streptophyta; Magnoliopsida; Poales; Poaceae.